CCUACGGGAGGCAGCAGUCGAGAAUUUUUCACAAUGGGGGAAACCCUGAUGGAGCGACGCCGCGUGGAGGAUGAAGGUCUUCGGAUUGUAAACUCCUGUCACUACAGAACAAGAAUAGAAAUAUGAAUAACAUCUCUAUUUGAUGGUAUGUGGAGAGGAAGGAACGGCUAACUCUGUGCCAGCAGCCGCGGUAAU
RNAcentral lists this ribosomal RNA (195 nucleotides) under uncultured Verrucomicrobiales bacterium. RNAcentral describes it as "partial 16S ribosomal RNA". It matches the Rfam family "Bacterial small subunit ribosomal RNA", at positions 338 to 524 of the family's 1533-position model. Lineage: Bacteria; Pseudomonadati; Verrucomicrobiota; Verrucomicrobiia; Verrucomicrobiales. The record is from RNAcentral.